AUAAACCAUCGGAGAAAAAGUCAGAGACAAACCAGACAAAUCUUCAAUGACCAUCUCGCAUAGUGGAGACUCUUGGGGCCUCAAAGAUAAAGGGAAUCAACUAGGUAAAGCUUCACGGCGACUAGUGGUCGAAGGAGGUGAGGAUGGAGGUGGUCGGAGAGGCGGUGGCUUCAUCGGAGACGAGAGAGAGAACUAGAAGGUUCUAGAGAGAAGGGAGAGCAAACGUUUUAAUAUAGAGAGAGAGAGAGAGAGAGUCCGUCUCUG
RNAcentral lists this long non-coding RNA (264 nucleotides) under Nicotiana benthamiana. Its description in RNAcentral is "long non-coding RNA (NBEN_LNC035824)". The record is from RNAcentral. Lineage: Eukaryota; Viridiplantae; Streptophyta; Magnoliopsida; Solanales; Solanaceae.